CAAACUGGAGAUGGCGACCGGCGCACGGGUGAGUAACACGUAUCCAACCUGCCGAUAACUCGGGGAUAGCCUUUCGAAAGAAAGAUUAAUACCCGAUGGUAUAAUCAGACCGCAUGGUCUUGUUAUUAAAGAAUUUCGGUUAUCGAUGGGGAUGCGUUCCAUUAGGUUGUUGGCGGGGUAACGGCCCACCAAGCCUUCGAUGGAUAGGGGUUCUGAGAGGAAGGUCCCCCACAUUGGAACUGAGACACGGUCCAA
This 255-nucleotide ribosomal RNA is filed under the name uncultured bacterium. Its description in RNAcentral is "partial 16S ribosomal RNA". It matches the Rfam family "Bacterial small subunit ribosomal RNA", at positions 77 to 334 of the family's 1533-position model. The record is from RNAcentral.